GAUCUGGUUCAGGAUGAACGCUAGCUACAGGCUUAACACAUGCAAGUCGAGGGGCAGCAUGGUCUUAGCUUGCUAAGACUGAUGGCGACCGGCGCACGGGUGAGUAACGCGUAUCCAACCUUCCCCUUAGUAGGGCAUAGCCCGGCGAAAGUCGGAUUAAUACCCUAUGUUUUCCUAUGAUGACAUCUGAAUAGGAACAAAGAUUUAUCGCUAAGGGAUGGGGAUGCGUCUGAUUAGGUAGUCGGCGGGGUAACGGCCCACCGAGCCAUCGAUCAGUAGGGGUUCUGAGAGGAAGGUCCCCCACAUUGGUACUGAGACACGGACCAAACUCCUACGGGAGGCAGCAGUGAGGAAUAUUGGUCAAUGGGCGCGAGCCUGAACCAGCCAAAGUAGCGUGCAGGAUGACGGCCCUACGGGUUGUAAACUGCUUUUGUACGGGAAUAAAGUGUGGGACGUGUCCCAUUUUGUAUGUACCGUAAGAAUAAGGACCGGCUAAUUCCGUGCCAGCCGCCGC
This 514-nucleotide ribosomal RNA is filed under the name uncultured bacterium. RNAcentral describes it as "bacterial SSU rRNA". It matches the Rfam family "Bacterial small subunit ribosomal RNA", at positions 15 to 518 of the family's 1533-position model. The record is from RNAcentral.